Molecule: ribosomal RNA, 375 nt
Filed under: Triticum aestivum (bread wheat)
Lineage: Eukaryota; Viridiplantae; Streptophyta; Magnoliopsida; Poales; Poaceae
Description: partial small subunit ribosomal RNA
Source: RNAcentral
AUGCUCUCGCGUGUUCUUCGUGCCGUCUCAUCGGUGGUAUCCGUGGAGGAAGCGAGCGGUGGGUCGGUCGGUUUGGGUUGUCUGGUUUGUGAACUAACAAGUCUGUUUGAGAAACUUCUGCAUGCGCUUCUGUUAUCUGAGAGACGCUCACCAGCUCACGUUCCUGCGUUUCGUGUUCGCGUCGGGCCCUUGUUCGCGUCUGCUUUUGAAAUUGGAAUUGCUGUUUAUCGUGCUCGUUCAGAUCGGUUCCUCUGUUCCGUUACCUGCGCUGUUCGUCAGUUACUUUCAUAUCUCAAACGCAUGCGCCCUUUGAUACUACUUGAUGGAUGUUCAGAUCUCAAAUGCUGCGUUGUUCAGAUCAGUUAUUUUGAUUGA